Vanessa tameamea is the source of this 673-nucleotide long non-coding RNA. RefSeq lists it as uncharacterized. Lineage: Eukaryota; Metazoa; Arthropoda; Insecta; Lepidoptera; Nymphalidae. The record is from RefSeq and is a predicted model, not a curated record. The transcript is spliced from 3 exons.
UUUUUUCACACAAAAUUAUUUAUUAGGCACGAAGAAAAAAUCCCAAAAUUCUUACAAGAAUUUCAUAUGAUGAUGAAGACUAUACCGAGGAAGAAGAUAACGAAAUAAAACUAUGUGAAUCGACAGUGCAGUAUAAACAUCCUAAAAUUGCUGAAAAUAGAAACAAUACGUGGCAAUUUAUCCUAAAUGACGAUGAAGAUCCGGUUCAAACAUACCGUUCCGAAAUUUGCAAGACUUCUAGAUCAAAAUGUUCUGAGAAACUCAUACCAGAACUUAACUACGAAAGCGCAUGCAUCCAAAGGUUUACCUUCAAGGAAAUGUACUAUAUUGACAAAAACAAACAAAUUGGAACAGACUACUUUAAAGUUCCCACGUGUUGCUCUUGUAAAUUAUUUCAUACGAAUUAAUAGUUUUGUCAAUUACUAUGAUUUUUUUAUAUUCAAACUCUUCUUUCAAUACUGAAUAAAAAAAAUUAUAUUAUUUUAUCUUUAUCUCAGAUUAUUAUGAAAACAAAAGACAUAUGGACCACGCAGAACAUUAUAAUGAAGCAUAAUUUUUGCUAGCAUUCAUAUUAUGGUGACUUAAUAAUCUAAAUUGAAUUGAUGAGAAAAAAAGCAACGGAUAGAGUUAUUCGUAUUUAAAAAAAAAAAACAAAAACUUAAAACUAAAAGUG